UACGUAGGUGGCAAGCGUUGUCCGGAUUUACUGGGCGUAAAGCGCAUGUAGGUGGUUGGUAAAGUCAGGUGUUAAAUUUGUGGGCCUAACCCACAACCGCACUUGAUACUCACUAACUAGAGUACAGGAGAGGGAAACGGAACUCAUGGUGUAGCGGUGAAAUGCGUAGAUAUCAUGAGGAACACCAGUGGCGAAGGCGGUUUCCUGGCCUGUUACUGACGCUGAGGUGCGAAAGCAUGGGGAGC
RNAcentral lists this ribosomal RNA (245 nucleotides) under uncultured bacterium. RNAcentral's name for it is "partial 16S ribosomal RNA". It matches the Rfam family "Bacterial small subunit ribosomal RNA", at positions 524 to 769 of the family's 1533-position model. The record is from RNAcentral.